GAUGAACGCUAGCGGCAGGCCUAACACAUGCAAGUCGAGGGGCAGCACAGAAACAGCAAUGUUUUGGUGGCGACCGGCGGACGGGUGCGUAACGCGUAUGCAACCUACCUUUAACAGGGGGAUAACGGAGAGAAAUUUCCACUAAUACCCCAUAACAUCGAUCAAGGCAUCUUGAUUGGUUGAACACUCCGGUGGUUAAAGAUGGGUCUGCGUUGUAUUAGGUAGUUGGUGAGGGAAUGGCUCACCAAGCCUACGAUACAUAGGGGGACUGAGAGGUUAGCCGCCCACACUGGUACUGAGACACGGACCAGACUCCUACGGGAUGCAGCAGUGAGGAAUAUUGGUCAAUGGGGGCAACCCUGAACCAGCCAUGCCGCGUGCAGGAAGACGGCUCUAUGAGUCGUAAACUGCUUUUAAACAGGGAUAAAGCACAGUAUGUAUACUGUGUUGAAGGUACUGUAAGAAUAAGGAUCGGCUAACUCCGUGCCAGCCGCCGCGGUAA
This 502-nucleotide ribosomal RNA is filed under the name uncultured bacterium. Its description in RNAcentral is "partial 16S ribosomal RNA". It matches the Rfam family "Bacterial small subunit ribosomal RNA", at positions 28 to 523 of the family's 1533-position model. The record is from RNAcentral.